This 443-nucleotide ribosomal RNA is filed under the name uncultured bacterium. RNAcentral's name for it is "partial 16S ribosomal RNA". It matches the Rfam family "Bacterial small subunit ribosomal RNA", at positions 338 to 795 of the family's 1533-position model. The record is from RNAcentral.
CCUACGGGUGGCAGCAGUGGGGAAUAUUGGGCAAUGGGCGAAAGCCUGAACCAGCAAAGCCGCGUGAGGGAAGAAGGUCUUAGGAUUGUAAAAUUCUGUCAGACGGGAAGAAAAAAAUGACGGUACCAUAGGAGGAAGCAGCGGCUAACGACGAGCCAGCAGCCGCGGUAAUACGUAGGGGGCGAGCGUUGUCCGGAAUUACUGGGCGUAAAGAGAGCGUAGGGGGCACUAGUGGUCUCAUGUGAAAUACCCGGGCUUAACUUGGGGGUUGCAUGGGAAACUGUAGAGCUUGAGUGCAGGAGAGGCAUGCGGAAUGCCUAGUGUAGCGGUGAAAUGCAUAGAUAUUAGGAGGAACACCAGUGGCGAAGGCGGCUUGCUGGCCUCAAACUGACGCUGAGGCACGAAAGCGUGGGGAGCGAACAGGAUUAGAUACCCCUGUAGUC